UGAUCAGAGUGUCUGAAUCAUCUUUUCUGGAUCCCUUAGACAUAGGCUGUAUACCUUCAGGGGUCAGUGGACCACAGGUUGAAAACCACUGACCUA
Gavialis gangeticus (Gharial) is the source of this 96-nucleotide long non-coding RNA. RefSeq lists it as uncharacterized. The record is from RefSeq and is a predicted model, not a curated record. Lineage: Eukaryota; Metazoa; Chordata; Crocodylia; Gavialidae. The transcript has 3 exons.